RNAcentral lists this ribosomal RNA (401 nucleotides) under uncultured Halomonadaceae bacterium. RNAcentral's name for it is "bacterial SSU rRNA". It matches the Rfam family "Bacterial small subunit ribosomal RNA", at positions 602 to 1005 of the family's 1533-position model. The record is from RNAcentral. Lineage: Bacteria; Pseudomonadati; Pseudomonadota; Gammaproteobacteria; Oceanospirillales; Halomonadaceae.
CCCGGGCUCAACCUGGGAACGGCGCUUGGGACUGGCGGGCUGGAGUUUGGGAGAGGGGGGCGGAAUUCCGGGUGUAGCGGUGAAAUGCGUAGAUAUCCGGAGGAACACCAGUGGCGAAGGCGGCCCCCUGGCCCAAAACUGACGCUGAGGCACGAAAGCGUGGGUAGCAAACAGGAUUAGAUACCCUGGUAGUCCACGCCGUAAACGAUGCCGACUAGCCGUUGGCCCCUUGGGGCUGGUGGCGCAGCUAACGCGGUAAGUCGGCCGCCUGGGGAGUACGGCCGCAAGGUUAAAACUCAAAUGAAUUGACGGGGGCCCGCACAAGCGGUGGAGCAUGUGGUUUAAUUCGAUGCAACGCGAAGAACCUUACCUGCCCUUGACAUCCUGGGAAUCCUGCGGAG